UACGUAGGGGGCAAGCGUUAUCCGGAUUUACUGGGUGUAAAGGGAGCGUAGACGGCGAGGCAAGUCUGAAGUGAAAGGCGGGGGCCCAACCCCCGGACUGCUUUGGAAACUGUCUUGCUUGAGUGCGGGAGGGGCAAGCGGAAUUCAUAGUGUAGCGGUGAAAUGCGUAGAUAUUAGGAGGAACACCGGUGGCGAAGGCGGCUUGCUGGACCGUAACUGACGUUGAGGCUCGAAGGCAUGGGGAGCGAAC
RNAcentral lists this ribosomal RNA (250 nucleotides) under uncultured prokaryote. RNAcentral describes it as "partial 16S ribosomal RNA". It matches the Rfam family "Bacterial small subunit ribosomal RNA", at positions 524 to 773 of the family's 1533-position model. The record is from RNAcentral.